GAACGAGAAAGGGGAGCAAUCCCUGAGUAAAGUGGCGACCGGGUGAGUAACACGUGACUAACCUGCCCUUGAGUGGGGGAUAACCUCGGGAAACCGGGGCUAAUACCGCAUAACAUCGCAAGAUCAAAGGAGCAAUCCGCUGAAGGAGGGGGUCGCGGCUGAUUAGUUAGUUGGUGAGGUAACGGCUCACCAAGACGAAGAUCAGUAGCCGGCCUGAGAGGGCGCACGGCCACACUGGAACUGAAACACGGUCCAGACUCCCACGGGAGGCAGCAGUGGGGAAUUUUGCGCAAUGGGGAAAACCCUGACGCAGCAACGCCGCGUGGAGGAUGAAGUCCCUUGGGAUGUAAACUCCUUUCGAUCGGGACGAUUAUGACGGUACCGGAAGAAGAAGCACCGGCUAACUCUGUG
Molecule: ribosomal RNA, 411 nt
Filed under: uncultured bacterium
Lineage: Bacteria
Description: bacterial SSU rRNA
Rfam family: Bacterial small subunit ribosomal RNA
Source: RNAcentral